UCCGUAGAUGAGACUACAGCUCACCG
Molecule: transfer RNA, 26 nt
Filed under: Uroplatus sikorae
Lineage: Eukaryota; Metazoa; Chordata; Lepidosauria; Squamata; Gekkonidae
Description: tRNA-Tyr
Source: RNAcentral